Molecule: ribosomal RNA, 245 nt
Filed under: uncultured archaeon
Lineage: Archaea
Description: partial 16S ribosomal RNA
Rfam family: Archaeal small subunit ribosomal RNA
Source: RNAcentral
CCCCGGCGCCACAAGUGGUCAUCGCGUUUAUUGGGUCUAAAGCGUCCGUAGCCGGUUUGGUAAAUCCAUUGUGAAAUCGUCUCGCUUAACGUGACGGCGCGCAGUGGACACUGCCAGACUCGAGACCGGGAGGGGACAGAGGUAUUCCUGAGGGAACGGUAAAAUGUGAUAAUCUCAGGAGGACCCCCAAUGGCGAAGGCAUCUGUCCAGAACGGAUCUGACGGUGAGGGACGAAAGCUAGGGGA